RNA transcript from Fragaria vesca subsp. vesca, 551 nucleotides. RefSeq lists it as uncharacterized. NCBI's taxonomy places the organism in Eukaryota, Viridiplantae, Streptophyta, Magnoliopsida, Rosales, Rosaceae. The record is from RefSeq and is a predicted model, not a curated record. The transcript is spliced from 2 exons.
AACCGCCUUCUCUCUCUUAUCUCGAUCUCAAAGCCAAGACGAAACCUUUCCAAGGCGUUCGUAUCCGAUCUUGACCGCUUCUCGCCGGCGAUCUCGAUUCCGGCAGAGUUGAAGUUUUUAGAAGAAGGGACUCUCCUAAAUACUCUAAAAGAGAAUCUGAGUAUUAUAGGAAUGGGUUCUCUGGUGUUGAUCUGAGCCAUGGCGGUGAUGUUGGUGUGAGGUGUAGGGAUGAUGUUCGCAAUUCAAGAAGGUCGGUUGAGAAUGGAAGAGAGCCGCAUCGGGAAGGGGCGGUUGAGUUGCUUCCGGAGAAGAAGAGGAAGUUUUCUCCCAUUAUAUGGGAUAAAGAAGAGAAGAAAGCGAGGGCAUUGACAAGGUGUGGAGCUGUUCCAGGCUCGGCCGUUCCUGUGUCAUCAUCUCGGAAGAGAUCAUCUUCUGAGGUUCGCGAUAUUGUCUCCGACGGGGGUGUUUCAAAGAUUCCUGCUUCGGAUGUUCAGCCUGAAGGGGUUCAGUUACUCCCUGGGAAGAGGAAGUCUCCUGUUACAGGUGACAGA